Molecule: long non-coding RNA, 201 nt
Filed under: Homo sapiens (human)
Lineage: Eukaryota; Metazoa; Chordata; Mammalia; Primates; Hominidae
Description: LHRI_LNC963.1
Source: RNAcentral
GUGGAAGUAUAAAUUGGUACUGUCUAUUUGGAGGUCAGUUUGGCAGUAUCACAAUUAAUGUUGCAACAUCUUCUGACUCAGUAGUUUCACUUCUAGGAAUCUCGUAAAAAAUAAUCAACAUGUGAACUAAGUGAUGUCUGGACAAGGAUGUUUACUGUAUCAUUGUAGCAACUAAAGAUCAUAAAUUAUGAUCUUUCUGAG